Molecule: ribosomal RNA, 465 nt
Filed under: uncultured bacterium
Lineage: Bacteria
Description: partial 16S ribosomal RNA
Rfam family: Bacterial small subunit ribosomal RNA
Source: RNAcentral
CCUACGGGAGGCAGCAGUAGGGAAUCUUCCACAAUGGACGAAAGUCUGAUGGAGCAACGCCGCGUGAGUGAAGAAGGGUUUCGGCUCGUAAAGCUCUGUUGGUAGUGAAGAAAGAUAGAGGUAGUAACUGGCCUUUAUUUGACGGUAAUUACUUAGAAAGUCACGGCUAACUACGUGCCAGCAGCCGCGGUAAUACGUAGGUGGCAAGCGUUGUCCGGAUUUAUUGGGCGUAAAGCGAGUGCAGGCGGUUCAAUAAGUCUGAUGUGAAAGCCUUCGGCUCAACCGGAGAAUUGCAUCAGAAACUGUUGGACUUGAGGGCAGAAGGGGAGAGUGGAACUCCAAGUGUAGCGGGGGAAUGCGUAGAUAUAUGGAAGAACACCAGUGGCGAAGGCGGCUCUCUGGUCUGCAACUGACGCUGAGGCUCGAAAGCAUGGGUAGCGAACAGGAUUAGAUACCCGAGUAGUC